GAAUAUUGGACAAUGGGGGCAACCCUGAUCCAGCCAUGCCGCGUGUGUGAAGAAGGCCUUUUGGUUGUAAAGCACGUUAAGCAGUGAAGAAGACUCCAUGGUUAAUACCCAUUGACGAUGACAUUAGCUGAAGAAUACGCACCCGCCAACUCUGUGCAAGAAGCCGCGGUAAUACAGUGGGUGCAAGCGUUAAUCGGAAUUACUGGGCGUAAAGCGAGCGUAGGUGGGUUGAUAAGUCAGAUGUGAAAUCCCCGGGCUUAACCUGGGAACUGCAUCUGAUACUGUUAGGCUAGAAUAGGUGAGAGGAAGGUAGAAUUCCAGGUGUAGCGGUGAAAUGCGUAGAGAUCUGGAGGAAUACCGAUGGCGAAGGCAGCCUUCUGGCAUCAUAUUGACACUGAGGUUCGAAAGCGUGGGUAGCAAAC
Molecule: ribosomal RNA, 422 nt
Filed under: uncultured bacterium
Lineage: Bacteria
Description: partial 16S ribosomal RNA
Rfam family: Bacterial small subunit ribosomal RNA
Source: RNAcentral